GCAGAGCUUUCCCGAGGGGGCGUCGGCUCAGCCCGGCGCUCGGGGCUGCUACGGUGGUUCGGGUCGGAGACCCCUGAGAUCGUAAAGAUUUGUCCAGUGAGGUGCAGACGGUUCCAGAGACAAGGAAACGGUCACUGGGGAGAGAGAAAGUGGAUUGUCAGGUUCCGGGACCUGCAGAGUGGCCAGUGUGACUAGAGAGUGAGUGGUAGGAGAAAAGAUUUUGUGUGCGGCAGAGGCAUCUCAUCACUCACCUGAGUAAACAGCUGGGAUCUUUCUGUUCAGAGAUGAGCCACCAUGCUCCUUAUGGUGGAGAGUCCUUGGAGACCCAGAAGAUCAUAGACAGCCCCCAGGAGGGCUCUAUGCUGGCAGUCUAAAGACAGAAAUAGCCAUGCGGUGGCUGUUAAAGGGCUGAGACUGUUGCGUGCUUUCUUGUGAUAGAUGGUAGGACUCAGCUCGGAAGAGGCUGACUCCAGAUGGGACUUGAGGGAAAACGGGAAGAAACCGUGCCAUUACUCUGCACUUGAAGGAGCAUCUUUAGCCUGACAGGAUAAUGAACAUACUUCCUCUUUCAGUCAGGUUUACUGCAUGGCCGAGAGAGUGGUAGCUAUGUUGCAUAUUUUUGCCUGGGAUUCUUAGGGUUGGAGAAGACAAAAGUCAAAUCCAGAGGAAGAUGGAGGUAAAGGAUGCACUUUGUGAUGAAAUAUACUUGGCACCUGAAUGGAUUCCAGCCAGACUGGAAGAAGAAAAAGGUGGUCUAUCAGAAGAAAUGCAGCAAGAGGUUCCCUUUGCACAAAACCCUGCAGGAAGGGGUCUAGUCAGUGAAAAUCUGUCCUGGUUUAUUGUUUGGGCAGAGCUAGAGAAACAGAAGACUAAGCUGAGACCUACCCAGGCUCCCCCUAAAAGUCUUGGCACAGCACCUGACUUUCAAUAGGUGUUUGGUAACCAUUUGUUACAGGACUGAGUGCCAUGGGGCAAGGUGGUUAAUUUUUUUUCCUCCGUCAGAGUGGUGAUCCACUUCAUUAUACUAUUUUA
Mus pahari (shrew mouse) is the source of this 1032-nucleotide long non-coding RNA. RefSeq lists it as uncharacterized. The record is from RefSeq and is a predicted model, not a curated record. NCBI's taxonomy places the organism in Eukaryota, Metazoa, Chordata, Mammalia, Rodentia, Muridae. The transcript is spliced from 3 exons.